GGCGAACGCUGGCGGCGUGCUUAACACAUGCAAGUCGAACGAUGAAGCUGGAGCUUGCUCCGGUGGAUUAGUGGCGAACGGGUGAGUAACACGUGAGUAAUCUGCCCUUGACUCUGGAAUAACUGCGGGAAACUGUAGCUAAUACCGGAUACUUUCACUGGAAGGCAUCUUCUGGUGAAGAAAGAAUUUCGGUCAAGGAUGAGCUCGCGGCCUAUCAGCUUGUUGGUGAGGUAACGGCUCACCAAGGCGACGACGGGUAGCCGGCCUGAGAGGGCGACCGGCCACACUGGGACUGAGACACGGCCCAGACUCCUACGGGAGGCAGCAGUGGGGAAUAUUGCGCAAUGGGCGAAAGCCUGACGCAGCAACGCCGCGUGCGGGAUGACGGCCUUCGGGUUGUAAACCGCUUUCAGCAGGGAAGAAGCCGCAAGGUGACGGUACCUGCAGAAGAAGCACCGGCUAACUACGUGCCAGCAGCCGCGGUAA
This 486-nucleotide ribosomal RNA is filed under the name uncultured bacterium. RNAcentral's name for it is "partial 16S ribosomal RNA". It matches the Rfam family "Bacterial small subunit ribosomal RNA", at positions 28 to 523 of the family's 1533-position model. The record is from RNAcentral.